GGGGAUUAGUGGCGAACGGGUGAGUAACACGUGAGUAACCUGCCCUUGACUCUGGGAUAAGCCUGGGAAACUGGGUCUAAUACCGGAUAUGACUCCUCAUCGCAUGGUGGGGGGUGGAAAGCUUUAUUGUGGUUUUGGAUGGACUCGCGGCCUAUCAGCUUGUUGGUGAGGUAAUGGCUCACCAAGGCGACGACGGGUAGCCGGCCUGAGAGGGUGACCGGCCACACUGGGACUGAGACACGGCCCAGACUCCUACGGGAGGCAGCAGUGGGGAAUAUUGCACAAUGGGCGAAAGCCUGAUGCAGCGACGCCGCGUGAGGGAUGACGGCCUUCGGGUUGUAAACCUCUUUCAGUAGGGAAGAAGCGAAAGUGACGGUACCUGCAGAAGAAGCGCCGGCUAACUACGUGCCAGCAGCCGCGGUAAUACGUAGGGCGCAAGCGUUAUCCGGAAUUAUUGGGCGUAAAGAGCUCGUAGGCGGUUUGUCGCGUCUGCCGUGAAAGUCCGGGGCUCAACUCCGGAUCUGCGGUGGGUACGGGCAGACUAGAGUGAUGUAGGGGAGACUGGAAUUCCUGGUGUAGCGGUGAAAUGCGCAGAUAUCAGGAGGAACACCGAUGGCGAAGGCAGGUCUCUGGGCAUUAACUGACGCUGAGGAGCGAAAGCAUGGGGAGCGAACAGGAUUAGAUACCCUGGUAGUCCAUGCCGUAAACGUUGGGCACUAGGUGUGGGGGACAUUCCACGUUUUCCGCGCCGUAGCUAACGCAUUAAGUGCCCCGCCUGGGGAGUACGGCCGCAAGGCUAAAACUCAAAGGAAUUGACGGGGGCCCGCACAAGCGGCGGAGCAUGCGGAUUAAUUCGAUGCAACGCGAAGAACCUUACCAAGGCUUGACAUGGACUGGAAAUACCUGGAAACAGGUGCCCCGCUUGCGGCCGGUUCACAGGUGGUGCAUGGUUGUCGUCAGCUCGUGUCGUGAGAUGUUGGGUUAAGUCCCGCAACGAGCGCAACCCUCGUUCUAUGUUGCCAGCGCGUGAUGGCGGGGACUCAUAGGAGACUGCCGGGGUCAACUCGGAGGAAGGUGGGGACGACGUCAAAUCAUCAUGCCCCUUAUGUCUUGGGCUUCACGCAUGCUACAAUGGCCGGUACAAAGGGUUGCGAUACUGUGAGGUGGAGCUAAUCCCAAAAAGCCGGUCUCAGUUCGGAUUGGGGUCUGCAACUCGACCCCAUGAAGUCGGAGUCGCUAGUAAUCGCAGAUCAGCAACGCUGCGGUGAAUACGUUCCCGGGCCUUGUACACACCGCCCGUCAAGUCACGAAAGUUGGUAACACCC
RNAcentral lists this ribosomal RNA (1325 nucleotides) under Pseudarthrobacter sp. Its description in RNAcentral is "bacterial SSU rRNA". It matches the Rfam family "Bacterial small subunit ribosomal RNA", at positions 87 to 1422 of the family's 1533-position model. Lineage: Bacteria; Bacillati; Actinomycetota; Actinomycetes; Micrococcales; Micrococcaceae. The record is from RNAcentral.